RNAcentral lists this ribosomal RNA (93 nucleotides) under uncultured bacterium. Its description in RNAcentral is "partial 16S ribosomal RNA". The record is from RNAcentral.
CGGUCGUAAAGCUCUGUGGGAGGGACGAACCGCUGGUAUUAAUACCAUCCAGCAUGACGGUACCUCCUUAGCAAGCACCGGCUAACUUCGUGC